Molecule: ribosomal RNA, 509 nt
Filed under: Georissus crenulatus
Lineage: Eukaryota; Metazoa; Arthropoda; Insecta; Coleoptera; Georissidae
Description: partial 16S ribosomal RNA
Rfam family: Archaeal large subunit ribosomal RNA (bases 383-509)
Source: RNAcentral
GGUUUUUAGUUUAUAAUUUAAAAUUUGGCCUGCUCAAUGAAAUUUAAAUAGCUGCAGUAUUUUGACUGUACAAAGGUAGCAUAAUCAUUAGUUUCUUAAUUAGAAUCUUGUAUGAAGGGUUGGACGAGAAAUAAUCUGUCUUAAUUUAAUUUUAUUAAAAUUUAUUUUUAAGUUAAAAAGCUUAAAUUUAGUUAAAAGACGAGAAGACCCUAUAGAGUUUUAUAUAUAUUAUUAAUAAUUUAAUUUAAGAAUUUAAUAUAUUUAUUUUAAUUUAUAUUUAAUUGGGGUAGUUUAAAAAUUUAAUUAAUUUUUUAUUUUUUAUUACAUUAAUUUAUGUAUAUUUGAUCCAGUAAUAUUGAUUAAAAGAUUAAAUUACCUUAGGGAUAACAGCGUAAUUUUUUUGAAGAGUUCAAAUCGAUAAAAAAGAUUGCGACCUCGAUGUUGGAUUAAAAUUAUUUCUGGUGUAGAAGUUAGAAUAAUUAAGUCUGUUCGACUUUUAAAAUUUUACA